RNAcentral lists this ribosomal RNA (253 nucleotides) under uncultured bacterium. Its description in RNAcentral is "partial 16S ribosomal RNA". It matches the Rfam family "Bacterial small subunit ribosomal RNA", at positions 524 to 776 of the family's 1533-position model. The record is from RNAcentral.
UACGUAGGGUGCGAGCGUUAAUCGGAAUUACUGGGCGUAAAGCGCGCGCAGGCGGUCUUCCAAGUCAGUGGUGAAAGCCCGGAGCUCAACUCCGGAAUUGCCAUUGAAACUGUUGGACUUGAGGAUGAGAGAGGUGAGUGGAAUUCCCAGUGUAGAGGUGAAAUGCGUAGAUAUCAAGAGGAAUACCUGAGGUGAAGACGGGUUGCUAGGCCGACACUGACGCUGAAGCGCGAAAGCCAGGGGAGCAAACGGG